RNAcentral lists this ribosomal RNA (440 nucleotides) under uncultured bacterium. Its description in RNAcentral is "partial 16S ribosomal RNA". It matches the Rfam family "Bacterial small subunit ribosomal RNA", at positions 338 to 795 of the family's 1533-position model. The record is from RNAcentral.
CCUACGGGGCGCAGCAGUAGGGAAUAUUGCUCAAUGGGGGAAACCCUGAAGCAGCAACGCCGCGUGGAGGAUGAAGGUUUUCGGAUUGUAAACUCCUUUUGUUAGAGAAGAUAAUGACGGUAUCUAACAAAUAAGCACCGGCUAACUCCGUGCCAGCAGCCGCGGUAAUACGGAGGGUGCAAGCAUUACUCGGAAUCACUGGGCGGAAAGAGCGCGUGGGCGGGAUAGCAAGUCAGAUGUGCAAUGCUAUGGCUUAACCAUAGAAAUGCAUUUGAAACUGUUAUUCUAGAGUAUGGGAGGGGUAGGUGGAAUUCUUGGUGUAGGGGUAAAAUCCGUAGAGAUCAAGAGGAAUACUCAUUGCGAAGGCGACCUGCUAGAACAUAACUGACGCUGAUGCGCGAAAGCGUGGGGAGCAAACAGGAUUAGAUACCCUGGUAGUC